RNAcentral lists this ribosomal RNA (449 nucleotides) under uncultured bacterium. RNAcentral describes it as "partial 16S ribosomal RNA". It matches the Rfam family "Bacterial small subunit ribosomal RNA", at positions 354 to 796 of the family's 1533-position model. The record is from RNAcentral.
GUCGAGAAUCUUUCACAAUGGGGGCAACCCUGAUGGAGCGACGCCGCGUGGAGGAUAAGGUCUUCGGAUUGUAAACUCCUGUCAUGCGUGAACAAGGUUGCUUGGAUAAUACCUGAGCAAAUUGAUGGUAGCGCAAGAGGAAGAGACGGCUAACUCUGUGCCAGCAGCCGCGGUAAUACAGAGGUCUCAAGCGUUGUUCGGAAUCACUGGGCGUAAAGGGUGCGUAGGUGGCGUGGCAAGUCAGAUGUGAAAGCCCGGGGCUCAACCUCGGAACUGCAUCCGAUACUGCCAUGCUAGAGUACUGGAGGGGUGACUAGAAUUCUCGGUGUAGCAGUGAAAUGCGUAGAUAUCGAGAGGAAUACCAAAGGCGUAGGCAGGUCACUGGACAGUUACUGACACUGAGGCACGAUGGCCAGGGGAGCGAACGGGAUUAGAAACCCUUGUAGUCC